Molecule: ribosomal RNA, 216 nt
Filed under: Glomeromycotina sp.
Lineage: Eukaryota; Fungi; Glomeromycota
Description: partial small subunit ribosomal RNA
Rfam family: Eukaryotic small subunit ribosomal RNA (bases 40-216)
Source: RNAcentral
GGGUCAUUAGGUUGGUCGUGCCACCGGUACGUACUGGUCUCACUGAUUCCUCCUUCCUGAAGAACCGUAAUGCCAUUAAUUUGGUGUUGCGGGGAAACAGGACUGUUACUUUGAAAAAAUUAGAGUGUUUAAAGCAAGCUAACGCUUGAAUACAUUAGCAUGGAAUAAUGAAAUAGGACGAUCGAUCCUAUUUUGUGGGUUUCUAGGAUUGACGUA